UGCUAGCCCCGGGAGGAGCGGCAUCCUUUGUUGUCUCGUAAAAAAACGAGACAGCAAAGAUAUAGCGGAUCACGGGACGAUGU
Molecule: small RNA, 83 nt
Filed under: Flavobacterium sp. 9R
Lineage: Bacteria; Pseudomonadati; Bacteroidota; Flavobacteriia; Flavobacteriales; Flavobacteriaceae
Description: Flavo-1
Rfam family: Flavo-1 RNA
Source: RNAcentral